GGCUGGUCUGAAGAUGGUGAGUUAGUGAUUGUUCACAGUCAGUUACAGAUUGAACUCCUUGUUCUACUCUUUCCCCUCAUCUCAUGACCACACUUGACUAGUUAAA
Molecule: Y RNA, 106 nt
Organism: Callithrix jacchus (white-tufted-ear marmoset)
Lineage: Eukaryota; Metazoa; Chordata; Mammalia; Primates; Cebidae
Rfam family: Y RNA
About the family: Y RNAs are components of the Ro ribonucleoprotein particle (Ro RNP), in association with Ro60 and La proteins. The Y RNAs and Ro60 and La proteins are well conserved, but the function of the Ro RNP is not known.
Source: Ensembl